This 346-nucleotide ribosomal RNA is filed under the name Pantoea sp. RNAcentral's name for it is "bacterial SSU rRNA". It matches the Rfam family "Bacterial small subunit ribosomal RNA", at positions 376 to 709 of the family's 1533-position model. The record is from RNAcentral. Lineage: Bacteria; Pseudomonadati; Pseudomonadota; Gammaproteobacteria; Enterobacterales; Erwiniaceae.
UAGCAGACUGAUGCAGCCAUGCCGCGUGUAUGAAGAAGGCCUUCGGGUUGUAAAGUACUUUCCGCUUGGAAGGAAGGUGUUGAGGUUAAUAACCUCAUCAAUUGACCUUUCCCGCACAAGAAGCACCGGCUAACUCCGUGCCAGCAGCCGCGGUAAUACCGAGGGUGCAAGCGUUAAUCGGAAUUACUGGGCGUAAAGCGCACGCAGGCGGGCUGUUAAGUCAGAUGUGAAAUCCCCGGGCUUAACCUGGGAACUGCAUUUGAGACUGGCAGGCUUGAGUCUCGUAGACGGGGGUCUAAAGUGCAGGUGCAGCGGGUGAAAUUUUGUAGAGAUCUAGCAGGAAUAC